Acromyrmex echinatior (Panamanian leafcutter ant) is the source of this 311-nucleotide long non-coding RNA. The record is from RefSeq and is a predicted model, not a curated record. NCBI's taxonomy places the organism in Eukaryota, Metazoa, Arthropoda, Insecta, Hymenoptera, Formicidae.
GUUGCGAGCGUUAGUUGCGGCGCUGCGAACGUUAGCUGCGGCGCUGCGCGCGUCAGUGGCGGCGCUGCAUGCGUCCGUCGCGAUGCUGAUACGGUCGUUCUUUCCAUGACUCUUCCCAUUCUCUCUCCGGCGUCAUGGCGUGCCGCGUGCAGACCUCGUUUCUAGUAUUGUAACUCCGCGACACGAUGCCGGUAUCCGAGCCGACUUACACGCGCAAUCACGUCUCUACUUUCUAAUCAACAUUUGUAUUCAGUAUUUAGUUAAUUAGGCAUUAAGUGUGUAUUAAAACGCCUCAUGGCAUAAAAUCAGAA